This 1498-nucleotide long non-coding RNA is filed under the name Cairina moschata (Muscovy duck). RNAcentral describes it as "domestica (muscovy Duck (domestic type)) lncRNA (ENSCMMG00000010023.1)". The record is from RNAcentral. Lineage: Eukaryota; Metazoa; Chordata; Aves; Anseriformes; Anatidae.
GCUCGGGGCGCAAUGUCCCUUCCCGCAUCACCUUAGCAAGGAAUGAGAUGCAAGCACCACCCGGAGGGACCGCCAUGGAUCAUGUGCUGGGGCAGCGACUGUGAGCGGCAGCCCCCAAACAUUUGAAAAUACUUUUGCCCCCUCUCUCUCUUAUUUUUUUUUCUUUUGGGGUAAUUUUUUUUUUGUUUUCCACCCCCUUCCGUCGGCCACCCCCGCCCCGAGCCAGGACACACCCCCGAGGGGUGUGGGCCGGGGGGGUCGGUUCUCGCCCGCGGGGCGCUGCCGAGUCCGAGGCUGGCGGGGGCCUGCGGGGCCCGGCGGCGCCGGGCCGGGGCCGGGGCCGGGGCAGCCGGAGGGGAGCGGGCGCCCCCGGCCGCCUCCCCGGGGAUGCUCCGGGCCCCGGGAGAGCCCGUGCUGGGCAGAUUUCCUUAUCCGGGGAUCGCAGGCCACAUCGCCAUUGGCCCGUGCUGUCACAUGGACUCAACUUUGUUCACUUGACACAGCCAGAGGCGAGAGAGCACUUUCCAACAUGAAGCGAUGUACCAGCCGCGGUCAGCCUGCAACGAGCAGCUCUACUCGUCCUGUCAGAGCUCCGGCCACCAAGCAGCGGUGUUAUCCCCCCGGGGUCAUGUCCAUCCUCCUGCCGGACUGCAAAGCCACCUCUCUGAGCCAAACCAUCCCUGCGAGCCGGUCACCCCCAGCCCACCACCCUCCUGCAGCCAAAACUCUCUGAACCAAAGCCCUUCCAAUUCCUCUUGCAAAGAGCCGGUAGUUUACCCCUGGAUGAAAAAAGUCCAUGUAAGCACGGGUAAGUGAACUAAAGUGGCUUUGCUUUAUACUAAGUAGCACCUCAAAGUCUUGUAGAAAUCUUAUUGCACCAGUUGUAAAAUAACCAUUCGUGGAGAUUUACGAUCGCCUGUUUGCAGAGCGGUAUAAUUACAUCCUCCAUAAAUUUUUAUUGCUCUGCUUGGCCAUGUGCCUUUGAAGUCUCUGUUACCAUCCUCCUCCAAUUUCUUGCAGGCUACUUUUUUAUGGCUGUUGAAUCUUCAUAAGUUAAGUUUUAUGUUUUCGUAAUUUGUAUUUAAGUAGCGGGUUGAGUAAACUUUUACUAUUUUCCCUUCCUUUACUUCCUUUUUUUCUUUGUGUGUGUGUGUUCGCUCGUGUGCGAUAUUUAAUAAAAAGGAGUGUGUGCGCUUGUCUGUGUGCAUGUGUGUAGGGGAAAACUUGAAAGAUUUGGGGAUAAUAGAGUGAUACUCAAGUAGUGGUGUGUAUAUAUGAGUGUAUACAUAUGUAGAGGGCAUGGAAAAUGUGUCUAGGGGACCUUAUAAAAACGUUUAGACAGGAAUACACGUCAAACAAUGAGGAUGGAGGUGGAGAUUUGGAGAUAGGCUCGGGGUAUAUUUUUAAGUUUGUGGUGCUUCUUUUUUUAUAUAUAUAUAUUUUAUUUCCCCCGACAAAAGAAUAUAUAAUGCUUUUUUUUUUUUUUUUUUUUUUUUUU